GUGGGGAAUAUUCCGCAGUGGACGAAAGUCUGACGGAGCAACGCCGCGUGAGUGAUGAAGGUUUUCGGACUGUAAAGCUCUGUUGUUUAGGACGAAAGUGCCUGUUGCAAAUAGUUACAGGUAUUGACGGUACUGAACGAGGAAGCCACGGCUAACUACGUGCCAGCAGCCGCGGUAAUACGUAGGUGGCAAGCGUUGUCCGGAAUUAUUGGGCGUAAAGAGCAUGUAGGCGGGAAUCUAAGUCUGUUGUGAAAAUGCGGGGCUCAACCCCGUAUUGCGAUGGAAACUGGGUUUCGUGAGUGCAGGAGAGGAAAGGGGAAUUCCCAGUGUAGCGGUGAAAUGCGUAGAUAUUGGGAGGAACACCAGUGGCGAAGGCGCCUUUCUGGACUGUGUCUGACGCUGAGAUGCGAAAGCCAGGGUAGCGAACGGGAUUAGAUACCCUUGUAGUCC
Molecule: ribosomal RNA, 450 nt
Filed under: uncultured bacterium
Lineage: Bacteria
Description: partial 16S ribosomal RNA
Rfam family: Bacterial small subunit ribosomal RNA
Source: RNAcentral